GUACACUCCUACGGGAGGCAGCAGUGGGGAAUAUUGGACAAUGGGCGCAAGCCUGAUCCAGCCAUGCCGCGUGAGUGAUGAAGGCCCUAGGGUUGUAAAGCUCUUUCACCGGUGAAGAUAAUGACGGUAACCGGAGAAGAAGCCCCGGCUAACUUCGUGCCAGCAGCCGCGGUAAUACGAAGGGGGCUAGCGUUGUUCGGAUUUACUGGGCGUAAAGCGCACGUAGGCGGACUAUUAAGUCAGGGGUGAAAUCCCGGGGCUCAACCCCGGAACUGCCUUUGAUACUGGUAGUCUUGAGUUCGAGAGAGGUGAGUGGAAUUCCGAGUGUAGAGGUGAAAUUCGUAGAUAUUCGGAGGAACACCAGUGGCGAAGGCGGCUCACUGGCUCGAUACUGACGCUGAGGUGCGAAAGCGUGGGGAGCAAACAGGAUUAGAAACCCCAGUAGUCCCAUG
RNAcentral lists this ribosomal RNA (452 nucleotides) under uncultured organism. RNAcentral's name for it is "partial 16S ribosomal RNA". It matches the Rfam family "Bacterial small subunit ribosomal RNA", at positions 331 to 799 of the family's 1533-position model. The record is from RNAcentral.